Molecule: unclassified non-coding RNA, 329 nt
Filed under: soil metagenome
Description: partial contains 5.8S ribosomal RNA, internal transcribed spacer 2, and large subunit ribosomal RNA
Rfam family: 5.8S ribosomal RNA (bases 1-120)
Source: RNAcentral
GAUGAAUAACGUAGCGAAAUGCGAUAAGUAAUGUGAAUUGCAGAAUUCAGUGAAUCAUCGAAUCUUUGAACGCACAUUGCGCCCCUUGGUAUUCCGAGGGGCAUGCCUGUUCGAGCGUCAUUAUAACCCCUCAAGCUCAGCUUGGUGUUGGGGCCUGCUGCACUGGCAGCCCUUAAAAUCAGUGGCGGCGCCAUCUGGCUCUAAGCGUAGUAAUUCUUCUCGCUAUGGAGUCCUGGUGGAUGCUUGCCACCAACCCCCAAUUUUUCUAUGGUUGACCUCGGAUCAGGUAGGGAUACCCGCUGAACUUAAGCAUAUCAAUAAGCGGAGGA